UACGUAGGGAGCGAGCGUUGUCCGGAAUUACUGGGCGUAAAGGGCGCGUAGGCGGGAACUUAAGUUAGAUGUGAAAACUCCGGGCUUAACCUGGAGACUGCAUUUAAAACUGGGUUUCUUGAGGGCAGGAGAGGAAAGUGGAAUUCCUAGUGUAGCGGUGAAAUGCGUAGAUAUUAGGAGGAACACCAGUGGCGAAGGCGACUUUCUGGACUGUACCUGACGCUGAGGCACGAAAGUGCGGGGAUCGAACAGG
RNAcentral lists this ribosomal RNA (253 nucleotides) under uncultured bacterium. RNAcentral's name for it is "partial 16S ribosomal RNA". It matches the Rfam family "Bacterial small subunit ribosomal RNA", at positions 524 to 776 of the family's 1533-position model. The record is from RNAcentral.